UUCAUGGAGUACACUAAAGAGGAAGCUGCUAGUACAGCACUCAAAGAGAUGAAUGGCAAGAUCAUUAAUGGCUAGAUGAUAGUUGUUGAUGUUGCCAAGACCAAUCCACCAAGAUACAGCAGGAGCCGUCCAAGAUAGGAAUAAUCCCACAGAUA
Long non-coding RNA from Juglans microcarpa x Juglans regia, 155 nucleotides. RefSeq lists it as uncharacterized. The record is from RefSeq and is a predicted model, not a curated record. Lineage: Eukaryota; Viridiplantae; Streptophyta; Magnoliopsida; Fagales; Juglandaceae. The transcript has 2 exons.